Molecule: ribosomal RNA, 514 nt
Filed under: uncultured bacterium
Lineage: Bacteria
Description: partial 16S ribosomal RNA
Rfam family: Bacterial small subunit ribosomal RNA
Source: RNAcentral
GAUGAACGCUGGCGGCGUGCCUAAUACAUGCAAGUCGAGCGAACAGAUGAGAAGCUUGCUUCUCUGAUGUUAGCGGCGGACGGGUGAGUAACACGUGGGUAACCUACCUAUAAGACUGGGAUAACUCCGGGAAACCGGGGCUAAUACCGGAUAAUAUUUUGAACCGCAUGGUUCAAUAGUGAAAGACGGUUUCGGCUGUCACUUAUAGAUGGACCCGCGCCGUAUUAGCUAGUUGGUAAGGUAACGGCUUACCAAGGCGACGAUACGUAGCCGACCUGAGAGGGUGAUCGGCCACACUGGAACUGAGACACGGUCCAGACUCCUACGGGAGGCAGCAGUAGGGAAUCUUCCGCAAUGGGCGAAAGCCUGACGGAGCAACGCCGCGUGAGUGAAGAAGGCCUUCGGGUCGUAAAACUCUGUUAUAAGAGAAGAACAAAUUGUAGAGUAACUGCUACAGUCUUGACGGUAUCUUAUCAGAAAGACACGGCUAACUACGUGCCAGCAGCCGCCGUAA